RNAcentral lists this ribosomal RNA (394 nucleotides) under uncultured Comamonadaceae bacterium. RNAcentral's name for it is "bacterial SSU rRNA". It matches the Rfam family "Bacterial small subunit ribosomal RNA", at positions 30 to 428 of the family's 1533-position model. Lineage: Bacteria; Pseudomonadati; Pseudomonadota; Betaproteobacteria; Burkholderiales; Comamonadaceae. The record is from RNAcentral.
AUUGAACGCUGGCGGAAGGCUUUACACAUGCAAGUCGAACGGUAGAGGGGGCAACCCCUUGAGAGUGGCGAACGGGUGAGUAAUAUAUCGGAACGUGCCCAGUCGUGGGGGAUAACGUAGCGAAAGUUACGCUAAUACCGCAUACGAUCUAAGGAUGAAAGCGGGGGACCGUAAGGCCUCGCGCGAUUGGAGCGGCCGAUAUCAGAUUAGGUAGUUGGUGGGGUAAAGGCUCACCAAGCCAACGAUCUGUAGCUGGUCUGAGAGGACGACCAGCCACACUGGAACUGAGACACGGUCCAGACUCCUACGGGAGGCAGCAGUGGGGAAUUUUGGACAAUGGACGCAAGUCUGAUCCAGCCAUUCCGCGUGCAGGAUGAAGGCCCUCGGGUUGUAA